This 73-nucleotide transfer RNA is filed under the name Canis lupus familiaris (dog). It matches the Rfam family "tRNA". From Rfam's summary of the family: Transfer RNA (tRNA) molecules are approximately 80 nucleotides in length. Lineage: Eukaryota; Metazoa; Chordata; Mammalia; Carnivora; Canidae. RNAcentral also lists the same sequence under 1 other name. The record is from Rfam by way of RNAcentral.
ACCUGGCUGGCUCAAUUGGUAGAGCAUGUGACUCUUGAUCUCAGGGUUGUGAGUUUGAGCCCCACACUGGGUG